UACGGGGGGGGCGAGCGUUGUUCGGAAUUACUGGGCGUAAAGGGCGCGUAGGCGGUCUGCUAAGUUGGGUGUGAAAACUCUGGGCUUAACCCAGAGCCUGCAUUCAAAACUGACAGGCUAGAGUUCUGGAGGGGGUAGCGGAAUUCCUGGUGUAGCGGUGAAAUGCGUAGAUAUCAGGAGGAACACCGGUGGCGAAGGCGGCUACCUGGACAGAAACUGACGCUGAGGCGCGAAAGCUAGGGGAGCAAACAGG
Molecule: ribosomal RNA, 253 nt
Filed under: uncultured bacterium
Lineage: Bacteria
Description: partial 16S ribosomal RNA
Rfam family: Bacterial small subunit ribosomal RNA
Source: RNAcentral